Molecule: ribosomal RNA, 459 nt
Filed under: uncultured bacterium
Lineage: Bacteria
Description: partial 16S ribosomal RNA
Rfam family: Bacterial small subunit ribosomal RNA
Source: RNAcentral
CCUACGGGAGGCAGCAGUGAGGAAUAUUGGUCAAUGGCCGGAAGGCUGAACCAGCCAUGCCGCGUGCAGGUCAGUGCCCUAUGGGCGUUAAACUUCUUUUGUGCGGGAGCAAUAAUGGUCACGUGUGGCCAGACGAGAGUACCGUACGAAUAAGCAUCGGCUAACUCCGUGCCAGAAGCCGCGGUAAUACGGGGGAUGCAAGCGUUAUCCGGAUUUACUGGGGGUAAAGCGGUCGUAGGCGGUAGGUCAAGUCAAGGGUGAAAUCCCCGCGCUCAACGUGGGAACUGCCUUUGACACUGGCAAACUGGAGUGUGUGAGAGGAUAGUGGAAUGCCAGGUGUAGGAGUGAAAUCCGUAGAUAUCUGGAGGAACACCAGUGGCGAAGGCGACUAUCUGGCACAUAACUGACGCUGAGGAGCGAAAGCGUGGGUAGCAAACAGGAUUAGAUACCCCAGUAGUC